AGCAAUUAAUUAACGAAAUAUAGCAAAAAAAUGUCACAAAGUUACGAAAUUUGUUGAGGUGUUACAAAAUCACAUGUGAAGCCUAUGUUAAAAAUUUCAAAAAAAAUUAAAUCAAGUUUAGUGCUAUAAAAAAAGAAAAAAAUACAUAAAUCUUUGCCGACUGCCUCAGUCUACGGCAGUCGACAAAGAGUUAUAUAAGAAUAUCUGCUUGGGCUUUGCCGACUGCCUGUUCCUGGAGCAGUCGGCAAAGGACUUGCCCUAAAAUAAUUGAGGCCCGGCCCAUCUCCCACCCUUAUCCCCUCCCUCUCAUCUCCCACCCGCGCCGCCACCCCCUCUACCGCCGCCGGCCUGCCCCGCGCCCGCGAGCCUGCCCUAGGCAAUUCUCCCCUGAAAUCUUAAUGAACGGCUUAUAUAGGAAAACUUUGUGGUUGGGAUGAUCUCAUCAUUUAAACAACUCAUGGUAUAAAUACCAUUCCAAAACUUAACUUUCAAUUUACUCCCUUAUUUGUUUAUUUCAGUUAACAAAUAUAUAUAUAUAUAAUAUAAUAUAAACUUACAACUGAAUUUCGCCCUUUUGUAAAAUUUGCCCAG
Molecule: long non-coding RNA, 591 nt
Filed under: Sorghum bicolor (sorghum)
Lineage: Eukaryota; Viridiplantae; Streptophyta; Magnoliopsida; Poales; Poaceae
Description: long non-coding RNA (SBIC_LNC015824)
Source: RNAcentral